GACGAACGCUGGCGGCGUGCUUAACACAUGCAAGUCGAGCGGUAAGGCCCUUUCGGGGGUACACGAGCGGCGAACGGGUGAGUAACACGUGGGUGACCUGCCCUCAGCUCUGGGAUAAGCCUGGGAAACCGGGUCUAAUACCGGAUAUGACUCCAUGACGCAUGUUGUGGGGUGGAAAGCCUUGUGCGGCUGAGGAUGGGCCCGCGGCCUAUCAGCUUGUUGGUGGGUGAUGGCCUACCAAGGCGACGACGGUAGCCGGCCUGAGAGGGCGACCGGCCACACUGGGACUGAGACACGGCCCAGACUCCUACGGGAGGCAGCAGUGGGGAAUCUUGCGCAAUGGGCGAAAGCCUGACGCAGCGACGCCGCGUGAGGGAUG
This 379-nucleotide ribosomal RNA is filed under the name uncultured bacterium. RNAcentral's name for it is "bacterial SSU rRNA". It matches the Rfam family "Bacterial small subunit ribosomal RNA", at positions 28 to 410 of the family's 1533-position model. The record is from RNAcentral.